CCUACGGGAGGCAGCAGUGGGGAAUAUUGCGCAAUGGGGGAAACCCUGACGCAGCAACGCCGCGUGAACGAAGAAGGUUUUCGGAUCGUAAAGUUCUGUCAGAGGGGAAGAAUAAUGACGGUACCCUCAGAGGAAGCCCCGGCUAACUACGUGCCAGCAGCCGCGGUAAU
RNAcentral lists this ribosomal RNA (170 nucleotides) under uncultured bacterium. RNAcentral's name for it is "partial 16S ribosomal RNA". It matches the Rfam family "Bacterial small subunit ribosomal RNA", at positions 338 to 524 of the family's 1533-position model. The record is from RNAcentral.